UAGCUUGUAUCUUACGGAUGUACUGUC
This 27-nucleotide non-coding RNA is filed under the name Bombyx mori (domestic silkworm). Lineage: Eukaryota; Metazoa; Arthropoda; Insecta; Lepidoptera; Bombycidae. The record is from RNAcentral.